This 698-nucleotide small RNA is filed under the name Pan troglodytes (chimpanzee). RNAcentral's name for it is "processed transcript". The record is from RNAcentral. Lineage: Eukaryota; Metazoa; Chordata; Mammalia; Primates; Hominidae.
GGCCUCUGAUUGGCCGAAGCUGGCAGAGCCGGGCCGCUCGCGCUCCUGGGUCCAUGCAACCUGCUCCCUGUGGCUGCCGAGUUCUCGGGAACAGCGGCUCGGCCUGCAAGGCUGUUGUUUCAAGAAAUGAAAAUGAAGGGCGCCCUGGAAUAGGUUCGCCUAAGAGAGAGCUUGCAGGCCUCUGGGAAGCAAGCCAUCGUGUGGCAGAGGCCCAGGUGGCAAGGAACCAAGGGCGGCUUCUGGCCAACAGCCAGCGAGGACCUGAGGCCGUAGCCCAACACCCCUCCAGGAACUGAAUUUUGCCAACAACCAGCGAGUGACCUUGGAAGUGGAUCCUUCCCCCGAAAGCCCGGCUUUCAGCUCAGAGAAGGGAAAAAUAUCUCUUCCUAAAGACACAGAGAAACAUAAACAAACCUGACCAAUAGGAGGACCAAAACCUCUGCACAGUGCCUCAGCCCUCGGAGGAGUUAACAAAAAUACGGAGGCUGGUGGGACCUCAACCCCAGCCAGUAUCCACGCUCUUGGCACCAUCUGGAGAAGGAAUUCAAGAGUGUGUCAGAAAAUGAUGAAAGUACAAAGAUUUAUUGCAAAGCGAAGAAUACACACUCAAGAAAGGGGAGUAUGGGUGGACUCAAGACAGAGUCCGAUGGGACUUGGGGUUUCUACCUUUUGGGUUUCUUUCUUUUUUUUUUUUUUUU